This 245-nucleotide ribosomal RNA is filed under the name uncultured bacterium. RNAcentral's name for it is "partial 16S ribosomal RNA". It matches the Rfam family "Bacterial small subunit ribosomal RNA", at positions 88 to 334 of the family's 1533-position model. The record is from RNAcentral.
AUGGCGACCGGCGCACGGGUGAGUAACACGUAUCCAACCUGCCGAUAACUCGGGGAUAGCCUUUCGAAAGAAAGAUUAAUGCCCGAUGGUAUAAUCAGACCGCAUGGUUUGAUUAUUAAAGAAUUUCGGUUAUCGAUGGGGAUGCGUUCCAUUAGGCAGUUGGUGAGGUAACGGCUCACCAAACCUUCGAUGGAUAGGGGUUCUGAGAGGAAGGUCCCCCACAUUGGAACUGAGACACGGUCCAA